This 253-nucleotide ribosomal RNA is filed under the name uncultured bacterium. Its description in RNAcentral is "partial 16S ribosomal RNA". It matches the Rfam family "Bacterial small subunit ribosomal RNA", at positions 524 to 776 of the family's 1533-position model. The record is from RNAcentral.
UACAGAGGGGGCAAGCGUUAUUCGGAAUUAUUGGGCGUAAAGGGCGCGUAGGCGGCCGGACAUGUGGAAGGUGAAAUCCCCGAGCUCAACUCGGGAACUGCCCUCCAAACUGUUUGGCUUGAGUCCGGGAGAGGUGAGUGGAAUUCCCAGUGUAGCGGUGAAAUGCGUAGAUAUUGGGAGGAACACCAGUGGCGAAGGCGGCUCACUGGACCGGAACUGACGCUGAGGCGCGAAAGCGUGGGGAGCAAACAGG